GCACUGAGACCGGUGAUAUUGGUCUGACCCUCUGCAGUGUCCUGAGGGGAGGGCUUGCUUACCCACUCCAAGUCUGUGAGUCCUAAUGAAGCAAGGCUAAGUCCGCUGAAGACCACCCUUGAGAGACUUUCAAAUCCUGGAGUGGCUGCUCCCUGAAGAGAGUCCUGGUCCUAGGAAUCUGGGAUUCUACCUGAAGUCACAAAGAUGAACAGAACAAACGGUAGAGCCCUGGAGAGAGGCAUCUGAGUGAGCCUGCUUUCUAACCAACUUCUCAGAACUGCCUGCCGCUGGGCUGCCGAACAGAAGUUCAAGUUCUGGGAUUCCACCCUUGAAGAGAAAUGAAUCUGCACUUAGUGAGCCCUCACCCUGUAGGUCAGGACAUGUAGUUCUUGCUAUCCUGAAACUCACUAUGUACAACAGACUGGUCUCGAACACACUGAGAUCUGCCUGGUUCUGUCUCCCCGGUGGUGAGAUCAAAGCACGAGUAGAAUUAGGAUACAGGACUUUUAUUUAUAUGUUAUGAC
This 524-nucleotide long non-coding RNA is filed under the name Mus pahari (shrew mouse). Its description in RNAcentral is "lncRNA (MGP_PahariEiJ_G0003332.1)". Lineage: Eukaryota; Metazoa; Chordata; Mammalia; Rodentia; Muridae. The record is from RNAcentral.